This is a non-coding RNA of Acanthosepion pharaonis, 109 nucleotides long. The record is from the annotation of a GenBank genome assembly. NCBI's taxonomy places the organism in Eukaryota, Metazoa, Mollusca, Cephalopoda, Sepiida, Sepiidae.
AGCCAUAUCAUGUUGAAACACCAGUUCUCAUCCAAUCAUCAAAGUUAAGCAAUUUUGAGCCUGGCCAGUACUUGGAUGGGUCACAAUUUGGGAAUACAAGGUACUGUCA